This 83-nucleotide transfer RNA is filed under the name Alkalicoccobacillus gibsonii. RNAcentral describes it as "tRNA-Leu". It matches the Rfam family "tRNA". From Rfam's summary of the family: Transfer RNA (tRNA) molecules are approximately 80 nucleotides in length. Their secondary structure includes four short double-helical elements and three loops (D, anti-codon, and T loops). Further hydrogen bonds mediate the characteristic L-shaped molecular structure. tRNAs have two regions of fundamental functional importance: the anti-codon, which is responsible for specific mRNA codon recognition, and the 3' end, to which the tRNAs corresponding amino acid is attached (by aminoacyl-tRNA synthetases). tRNAs cope with the degeneracy of the genetic code in two manners: having more than one tRNA (with a specific anti-codon) for a particular amino acid; and 'wobble' base-pairing, i.e. permitting non-standard base-pairing at the 3rd anti-codon position. RNAcentral also lists the same sequence under 6 other names. Lineage: Bacteria; Bacillati; Bacillota; Bacilli; Caryophanales; Bacillaceae. The record is from RNAcentral.
GCGGUUGUGGCGGAAUGGCAGACGCGCUAGGUUGAGGGCCUAGUGAGGUUAAACUCGUGGAGGUUCGAGUCCUCUCAACCGCA